UAAGUUUACUUUUAGUUUCGGCCUUAAUUUGUGAGUUUAAAACAUUUAAUUGUUAAUUAAAAAUUUUA
RNAcentral lists this transfer RNA (68 nucleotides) under Metaperipatus inae. RNAcentral's name for it is "tRNA-His". The record is from RNAcentral. Lineage: Eukaryota; Metazoa; Onychophora; Udeonychophora; Euonychophora; Peripatopsidae.